RNAcentral lists this ribosomal RNA (466 nucleotides) under uncultured bacterium. RNAcentral's name for it is "bacterial SSU rRNA". It matches the Rfam family "Bacterial small subunit ribosomal RNA", at positions 964 to 1426 of the family's 1533-position model. The record is from RNAcentral.
UAGAACCUUACCUGGGUUUGACAUGGAUCGGGAGUGCUCAGAGAUGGGUGUGCCUCUUUUGGGGUCGGUUCACAGGUGGUGCAUGGCUGUCGUCAGCUCGUGUCGUGAGAUGUUGGGUUAAGUCCCGCAACGAGCGCAACCCUUGUUCACUGUUGCCAGCACGUUAUGGUGGGGACUCAGUGGAGACCGCCGGGGUCAACUCGGAGGAAGGUGGGGAUGACGUCAAGUCAUCAUGCCCCUUAUGUCCAGGGCUUCACGCAUGCUACAAUGGCUGGUACAGAGAGUGGCGAGCCUGUGAGGGUGAGCGAAUCUCGGAAAGCCGGUCUCAGUUCGGAUUGGGGUCUGCAACUCGACCUCAUGAAGUCGGAGUCGCUAGUAAUCGCAGAUCAGCAACGCUGCGGUGAAUACGUUGCCCGGGGCUUGUACACACCGCCCGUCAAGUCAUGAAAGUUGGUAACACCCGAAU